GAGACUCUGUGCGCGUGCAUAUCAAUAAGCGGAGGAAAAGAAACUAACUAGGGUUCCCUCAGUAACGGCGAGUGAAGCGGGAAGAGCUCAAAUUUGAAAUCUUCAAGGUUCUACCUUGACGAAUUGUAGUUUAAAGAAGUGUUUUCUGUUGGAGUUUUGGUAAAAGUUCUUUGGAAUAGGACAUCAUAGAGGGUGAGAAUCCCGUAUUUGAUCACUUUCUACUAACGUUGUGAUACACUUUCAAAGAGUCGGAUUGUUUGGGAAUGCAGUCCAAAAUGGGUGGUAAAUUUCAUCUAAAGCUAAAUAUUGGCGAGAGACCGAUAGCGAACAAGUACCGUGAGGGAAAGAUGAAAAGAGCUUUGAAAAGAGAGUUAAACAGUACGUGAAAUUGUCAAAAGGGAAGCGUUUGACACCAGUGUUGUUUUCUCGAAAAUCAAUUAAAAAAGGCCGGAUUAUGUGUUGUAUUGACCUUAAAAGCUUUCUUCACUCUUUUCUUGUCUUUUUUAAUGCACUUUUCGUUUAACAAGUCAACAUCAGUUUCUUUUGUUGUAAAAGGGUCAUUGGAAGGUGGCUUUCUUUUCGGAGAAAGUGUUUGAUAGCCUUUGAUCUCUGCAACCGGAGAGACUGAGGUCUGCAGCGUAGACUCUUCGGGGUUAGAUACAUUUGUGCUAAGCUAUAGCUUUUUCAUAGACAACUUGUUGACUAUAUUUAGUCUUGUGGCUUACUCGCUUAUGCUAUUUUACCUACGCUUAGGAUGUUGACGAUCAGCUGAGCGCG
Molecule: ribosomal RNA, 777 nt
Filed under: uncultured Neocallimastigales
Lineage: Eukaryota; Fungi; Neocallimastigomycota; Neocallimastigomycetes; Neocallimastigales
Description: partial large subunit ribosomal RNA
Rfam family: Eukaryotic large subunit ribosomal RNA
Source: RNAcentral